Molecule: ribosomal RNA, 465 nt
Filed under: uncultured bacterium
Lineage: Bacteria
Description: partial 16S ribosomal RNA
Rfam family: Bacterial small subunit ribosomal RNA
Source: RNAcentral
CCUACGGGAGGCAGCAGUAGGGAAUAUUGCUCAAUGGGGGAAACCCUGAAGCAGCAACGCCGCGUGGAGGAUGAAGGUUUUCGGAUUGUAAACCUCUGUCAGCAGGGAAGAACGGUCACUGUGCUAAUCAGCAGUGAAUUGACGGUACCUGCAAAGGAAGCACCGGCUAACUCCGUGCCAGCAGCCGCGGUAAUACGGAGGGUGCGAGCGUUAAUCGGAAUUACUGGGCGUAAAGCGCUCGUAGGCGGUAUGUCAAGUCAAGGGUGAAAUCCCCGCGCUCAACGUGGGAACUGCCUUUGAAACUGGCAAACUGGAGUGUGUGAGAGGAUAGUGGAAUUCCAGGUGUAGGAGUGAAAUCCGUAGAUAUCUGGAGGAACAUCAGUGGCGAAGGCGACUAUCCGGCACAUAACUGACGCUGAGGAGCGAAAGCGUGGGUAGCAAACAGGAUUAGAUACCCCAGUAGUC